GUGUCAGCAGCCGCGGUAAUACCAGCUCUCCGAGUUGUGGGGACGUUUAUUGAGCCUGAAGCAUCCGUAGCCGGCUGUGCAAGUCCCCUGUUAAAUCCAGCGACUAAUCGUUGGCCUGCGGGGGAUACUGCUCGGCUAGGGGGCGGGAGAGGCCGUCGGUAUUCUUGGGGUAGGGGUGAAAUCCUAUAAUCCCAGGAGGACCACCAGUGGCGAAGGCUGUCGGCUAGAACGCGCCCGACGGUGAGGGAGGAAAGCUGGGGGAGCGAACCGGAUUAGAUACCCGGGUAGUCCCAGCUGUAAACGAUGCAGGCUAGGUGUUAGGGCGGCUACGUGCCGCUCUAGUGCCGCAGGGAAGCUGUUAAGCCUGCCGCUUGGGGAGUACGGCCGCAAGGCUGAAACUCAAAGGAAUUGACGGGG
RNAcentral lists this ribosomal RNA (417 nucleotides) under uncultured prokaryote. RNAcentral's name for it is "bacterial SSU rRNA". It matches the Rfam family "Archaeal small subunit ribosomal RNA", at positions 455 to 873 of the family's 1478-position model. The record is from RNAcentral.